Molecule: ribosomal RNA, 253 nt
Filed under: uncultured bacterium
Lineage: Bacteria
Description: partial 16S ribosomal RNA
Rfam family: Bacterial small subunit ribosomal RNA
Source: RNAcentral
GACAGAGGCCUCGAGCGUUAGGCGGAAUCACUGGGCUUAAAGCGUGUGUAGGCGGGCCCGUAAGUGUCUUGUGAAAUCCCACGGCUCAACCGUGGAACUGCUGGGCAUACUGCGGGUCUUGGGCCAACUAGGGGCAGUCGGAACAAGCGGUGGAGCGGUGAAAUGCGUAGAUAUCGCUUGGAACGCCGAAGGUGAAAACAGGCUGCUGGGGUUGCGCCGACGCUGAGACACGAAAGCCAGGGGAGCAAACGGG